Molecule: ribosomal RNA, 245 nt
Filed under: uncultured bacterium
Lineage: Bacteria
Description: partial 16S ribosomal RNA
Rfam family: Bacterial small subunit ribosomal RNA
Source: RNAcentral
AACGGAGGGUGCAAGCGUUGUUCGGAAUCACUGGGCGUAAAGGGCGAGUAGGUGGUGAGGUAAGUCAGAUGUGAAAUCCCUUGGCUUAACCAAGGAAGAGCAUUUGAAACUGUCUUACUAGAGUACGGGAGAGGGAAGUGGAAUUCCUAGUGUAGAGGUGAAAUUCGUAGAUAUUAGGAGGAACACCGGUGGCGAAGGCGACUUCCUGGACCGAUACUGACACUGAGGCGCGAAAGCGUGGGGAG